UGGGGAAUUUUGGACAAUGGGCGAAAGCCUGAUCCAGCAAUGCCGCGUGUGUGAAGAAGGCCUUCGGGUUGUAAAGCACUUUUGUCCGGAAAGAAAUCCUUGGCUCUAAUACAGUCGGGGGAUGACGGUACCGGAAGAAUAAGCACCGGCUAACUACGUGCCAGCAGCCGCGGUAAUACGUAGGGUGCAAGCGUUAAUCGGAAUUACUGGGCGUAAAGCGUGCGCAGGCGGUUGUGCAAGACCGAUGUGAAAUCCCCGAGCUUAACUUGGGAAUUGCAUUGGUGACUGCACGGCUAGAGUGUGUCAGAGGGGGGUAGAAUUCCACGUGUAGCAGUGAAAUGCGUAGAGAUGUGGAGGAAUACCGAUGGCGAAGGCAGCCCCCUGGGAUAACACUGACGCUCAUGCACGAAAGCGUGGGGAGCAAACAGGAUUAGAUACCCUGGUAGUCCACGCCCUAAACGAUGUCAACUAGUUGUUGGGGAUUCAUUUCCUUAGUAACGUAGCUAACGCGUGAAGUUGACCGCCUGGGGAGUACGGUCGCAAGAUUAAAAGCUCAAAGGAUUUGACGGGGGCUGCAU
This 578-nucleotide ribosomal RNA is filed under the name uncultured bacterium. Its description in RNAcentral is "partial 16S ribosomal RNA". It matches the Rfam family "Bacterial small subunit ribosomal RNA", at positions 355 to 926 of the family's 1533-position model. The record is from RNAcentral.